Vespula pensylvanica (western yellowjacket) is the source of this 1657-nucleotide long non-coding RNA. RefSeq lists it as uncharacterized. NCBI's taxonomy places the organism in Eukaryota, Metazoa, Arthropoda, Insecta, Hymenoptera, Vespidae. The transcript is spliced from 3 exons. The record is from RefSeq and is a predicted model, not a curated record.
AGAAAGAAAGAAAGAAAACCGUUCGAAAAACGCACAUGUUGCUUUUCAUUUGAAAUUACCACGCAACAAAGCAAUCGUUUUUUUCUCUUCCGUUUAGCGACAAACAACAUAUUAUUUUCAUGAGCUUAAUUUUUGUUCUAUUCUAUAUAUAUUCUAUUUUUCAUAUUUACAUAUCUUAAAAAUGUGAUAUAAGGCAUGUGAUUUAACAACAAACAUCAUAAAUUACGAACAGACAAAAGUAUAAAGAAAAACGUAAGUAUGCUUUGUUAUGAUCAUUGUUUGUUCUCAUCGAAGAAAAAUGUUAAUUGUUGUGUACAAAUGAAUUAUUACAUAACCGAACUAAUCAGGAUUUAUUAUUAAUUUAUGUGAAUGUAUGUGAAAUAUUUAAAUUCGAAAAAUUUGUUAUAUUCAAAUAUCGUUCGGAUAAUCAACUAACGAACAGGCUUAAUGAUACAAUGGUAGAAUAAAUUCAUUCUCGUUUCAAGGUUAUAAUGAAGUUAUUUAUGUUUAUAUCUAUUAUAAUUUAUGAGUCAAAUAAGACGUUCGAACAGAUUGUUAUUUCCAGUAUUGAUAUUUUUUUACUCUUAUUUUCUUUUUUUCGUUUGUUUGUUUCGUCCUUCGAUUUCGAAUUAUCCUGUGUUUCCAAGAGUAAAGUUUGAAAUAAUUGUUUUACCUCUCUACAGAACAAUUCUUGGCAAUCGAUGUUGAGGAGCAGGAAGAGUCAGUCGAGUACGAGAUUCAGAUCAACACGGACAGAAAUCUGAAGACAGCUACACGAUACUAUGAUCUUUGAAUCUCUUAAUGGUUCUCUAUUCUCUUAUAUUUUUCAAAAGUUACGAAAUUAAAUGUUAAGAUAUCUGCUUAUAAAAUAUUAUUGAAAAAAAAUCUACUUGUGAAUUUCCAUAUAAGAAGAAAACAAGUAUUUCAUUUUCUGAAAAAGAAAAUUAGUUUUCUUUGAUUUCCUUGGUUGAAGAGAGUCAAAGAUCUUAGUCGAUGGAAAAUCUUAAAAGAAGUUGUAUUGCCGAUCCGAAGAAAGAUAGCUAGAAAUGCUAAAAGAUGAUUUUAAAAGUAUUGCACAAGAAUCAAACGAUAACAAAGUAUUACAUAUUUCUAAAGAAUAUGUUCACAAUAUUAGAAGCUUUAGUAUGGCAGCAUUUUCCAAUUUCUGUUGAUCUAGUCAAUUUUCAAAAAUAAUAGUUCUUAAUAUAGUACUUAACAUAAGUACAAAGAAUUAUAAUGUUUUAUCAUUAUCGAUUAUUACGUCACGUUAAUUCAUUGGCAACACAAUCUACAAGAUAAUCAGAGGCUUUAGAAAUGGAUGUAACCUGAACAAAUUUCAUCUUUUUAUCGUGAGAUUUUGAUAAUGAAUCUUCGAUAAUAACUACAACAACAACGUCAACAAUUUAGUUCAUAGAGUAACUAAUAUUUACAUCUUUUAGUUCCUGUAGCAUUUCUUAAGCUAAUCUAUGCAUAAUAUCUAGUCGGUAUGUACUUUUUUUUUUUGUAAGGCUACUAUCUUCGUUGUUAUCAUGAUCAUUAUCACCAUUACAAGUUUGAUGUCGCCAAAAAUCAGAUAAAUAGGUGAUAAUGUUAUCGUAUAUUUUGUUUAUGAUUUUAUAGACAGACACACAAUUACAAUCUUUUUUUUUUAUUAUAA